Molecule: ribosomal RNA, 451 nt
Filed under: uncultured organism
Description: partial 16S ribosomal RNA
Rfam family: Bacterial small subunit ribosomal RNA
Source: RNAcentral
UACACUCCUACGGGAGACAGCAGUGGGGAAUAUUGGACAAUGGGCGCAAGCCUGAUCCAGCCAUGCCGCGUGAGUGAUGAAGGCCCUAGGGUUGUAAAGCUCUUUCACCGGUGAAGAUAAUGACGGUAACCGGAGAAGAAGCCCCGGCUAACUUCGUGCCAGCAGCCGCGGUAAUACGAAGGGGGCUAGCGUUGUUCGGAUUUACUGGGCGUAAAGCGCACGUAGGCGGACUAUUAAGUCAGGGGUGAAAUCCCGGGGCUCAACCCCGGAACUGCCUUUGAUACUGGUAGUCUUGAGUUCGAGAGAGGUGAGUGGAAUUCCGAGUGUAGAGGUGAAAUUCGUAGAUAUUCGGAGGAACACCAGUGGCGAAGGCGGCUCACUGGCUCGAUACUGACGCUGAGGUGCGAAAGCGUGGGGAGCAAACAGGAUUAGAAACCCGUGUAGUCCCAUG